GCAGCUCACGACAAUAGUGUAAGUACAUGGCAAAUUCUGCAGGAAACCCCUGACACAAAACUUCAACAGGAGUGGACAUCUUCUUUUCACUAAUCUUUUCAUAUUUUUGUUUCUUUGUUGCAGCCUUUAAAUGAAAAAAAACCUGAGGACU
Molecule: long non-coding RNA, 151 nt
Organism: Perognathus longimembris pacificus (Pacific pocket mouse)
Lineage: Eukaryota; Metazoa; Chordata; Mammalia; Rodentia; Heteromyidae
Exons: 3
Source: RefSeq, a predicted model, not a curated record